RNAcentral lists this ribosomal RNA (472 nucleotides) under uncultured bacterium. RNAcentral describes it as "partial 16S ribosomal RNA". It matches the Rfam family "Bacterial small subunit ribosomal RNA", at positions 355 to 844 of the family's 1533-position model. The record is from RNAcentral.
UGGGGAAUAUUGCACAAUGGGCGAAAGCCUGAUGCAGCAACGCCGCGUGCGGGAUGACGGCCUUCGGGUUGUAAACCGCUUUCAGCAGGGACGAAGGUUUUCUGACGGUACCUGCAGAAGAAGCACCGGCUAACUACGUGCCAGCAGCCGCGGUGAUACGUAGGGUGCGAGCGUUGUCCGGAAUUAUUGGGCGUAAAGAGCUUGUAGGCGGUCCGUUGCGUCGGAAAGUGAAAACUCAGGGCUUAACCCUGAGCCUGCUUUCGAUACGGGCGGACUUGAGGGAUGUAGGGAGAACGGAAUUCCUGGUGGAGCGGUGGAAUGCGCAGAUAUCAGGAGGAACACCAAGUGGCGAAGGCGGUUCUCUGGACAUUUCCUGACGCUGAGAAGCGAAAGCGUGGGGAGCAAAACAGGCUUAGAUACCCUGGUAGUCCACGCCGUAAACGGUGGGCACUAGGUGUGGGACCCAUUCCAC